This 27-nucleotide small RNA is filed under the name Bombyx mori (domestic silkworm). RNAcentral's name for it is "ovarian small RNA-9554". The record is from RNAcentral. Lineage: Eukaryota; Metazoa; Arthropoda; Insecta; Lepidoptera; Bombycidae.
UUCCAGGGAUGUACCGAGGUUGACGGA